AUUGAACGCUGGCGGCAGGCCUAACACAUGCAAGUCGAACGAGUGGCGGACGGGUGAGUAAUGUCUGGGAAACUGCCUGAUGGAGGGGGAUAAAUACUGGAAACGGUAGCUAAUACCGCAUACCAUCGGAUGUGCCCAGAUGGGAUUAGCUAGUAGGUGGGGUAAAGGCUCACCUAGGCCACGAUCCCUAGCUGGGCGGAGAGGCGGACAGUCCACACGGGAACUGGGACAGGGUCCAGACUCCUGCGGGAGGGAGCAGUGGUGAAUAUUGCACAAUGGGCGGAAACCUGAUGCAGCCAUGCCGCGUGUAUGAAGAAGGCCUUCGGGUUGUAAUGUACUUUCAGCGGGGAGGCGUUACCCGCAGAAGAAGCACCGGCUAACUCCGUGCCAGCAGCCGCGGUAAUUC
RNAcentral lists this ribosomal RNA (406 nucleotides) under uncultured bacterium. Its description in RNAcentral is "partial 16S ribosomal RNA". It matches the Rfam family "Bacterial small subunit ribosomal RNA", at positions 30 to 526 of the family's 1533-position model. The record is from RNAcentral.